Molecule: ribosomal RNA, 254 nt
Filed under: uncultured bacterium
Lineage: Bacteria
Description: partial 16S ribosomal RNA
Rfam family: Bacterial small subunit ribosomal RNA
Source: RNAcentral
UACGUAGGGUCCGAGCGUUGUCCGGAUUUAUUGGGCGUAAAGAGCUCGUAGGCGGUUCCGUAAGUCAGAUGUGAAAACUCAGGGCUCAACCCGGAGACGCCAUCUGAUACUGCGGUGACUGGAGUCUGGUAGGGGAACACGGAAUUCCUGGUGUAGCGGUGAAAUGCGCAGAUAUCGGGAGGAACACCAGUAGCGAAGGCGGCACUCUGGGCCGGUACUGACGCUGAGGAGCGAAAGCGUGGGGAGCGAACAGG